AGCAGCCGCGGUAAUUCCAGCUCCAAUAGCGUAUAUUAAAGUUGUUGCAGUUAAAAGCUCGUAGUUGAAUUUCGGGAUUAAUUUAUUGGUCGUGCUAUUGUACGUACUGGUAUUAUUGAUUCCUACCUUCUGACGAACCAUGAUGUCAUUAAUUUGGUGUCAUGGGGAAUCAGGACUGUUACUUUGAAAAAUUAGAGUGUUUAAAGCAGGCUCACGCUUGAAUACAUUAGCAUGGAAUAACGAAAUAGGACGUUUGAUUCUAUUUUGUUGGUUUCUAGGAUCGACGUAAUGAUUAAUAGGGAUAGUUGGGGGCAUUAGUAUUCAAUUGUCAGAGGUGAAAUUCUUGGAUUUAUUGAAGACUAACUACUGCGAAAGCAUUUGCCAAGGAUGUUUUCAUUAAUCAAGAACGAAAGUUAGGGAUCGAAGACGAUCAGAUACCGUCGUAGUCUU
This 450-nucleotide ribosomal RNA is filed under the name uncultured Glomeromycotina. RNAcentral describes it as "SSU rRNA". It matches the Rfam family "Eukaryotic small subunit ribosomal RNA", at positions 569 to 1027 of the family's 1831-position model. The record is from RNAcentral. Lineage: Eukaryota; Fungi; Glomeromycota.